Non-coding RNA from Caenorhabditis elegans, 224 nucleotides. NCBI's taxonomy places the organism in Eukaryota, Metazoa, Nematoda, Chromadorea, Rhabditida, Rhabditidae. The record is from Ensembl.
UUUUUUUUUUCGUCCACUCCCUCGUGCCUGUUAAGGGUUGAAGUGGUUCGGUUCGACCACACGGAGAAGUGAGGCAUGCUCUCGAGGAGCACUGGGAAUGCCUAUAUCUUUGAAAGUCUGAAGUCUGAAGAAAAACUGAAGCUCUUUGAAGCCGAUCUGAAAAUCUUUUGCAUCAUUUUCAAAUGGUGUCAGGCUGUCCUAAUACAGUUUGAUCUACAAAAUCG